GACGGAGGGUGCAAACGUUGUUCGGAAUCACUGGGCAUAAAGCGCACGUAGGCGGUCCGCUAAGUCAGUUGUGAAAUCCCUCGGCUCAACCGAGGAGCUGCACCUGAUACUGGCGGGCUCGAGAACGGUAGGGGUGAGUGGAACUCCAGGUGGAGCGGUGAAAUGCGUAGAUAUCUGGAGGAACACCUGGGGCGAAGGCGGCCAGCUGGGCCGUCCCUGACGCUGAGGCGCGAAGGCGUGGGGAGCGAACGGG
Molecule: ribosomal RNA, 253 nt
Filed under: uncultured bacterium
Lineage: Bacteria
Description: partial 16S ribosomal RNA
Rfam family: Bacterial small subunit ribosomal RNA
Source: RNAcentral